AGUAUUUUGACUAUACAAAGGUAUUGAAAUAAGACUUUAAUUGAGUGCUAAGAGAAUGGAAUUUCAUAAAAUUUCUUUUUUAAUUUUAAAAAUUGAAAUUAAUUUUAUAUGUGAAGAAACAAUAAUAAAAAUUAAGGACAAGAAGACCCUAAGAAUUUUAAAAAUUUCAAUAUAAUAUUAUAUUAUAUUGAAAUUUUUUAAUUGGGGCGAUUAUUAAAUAUUAAAAACUUUAAUUUUUUUAAAAAAGAACCAAUAUUAUUGGUUAUUUGAGAAAAUACUCUAGGGAUAACAGCGUAAUAAUUUUUGAUAGUUCUUAUAGACAAAAUAGUUUGCGACCUCGAUGUUGGAUUAGGAUUCUUUUUUAAUGAAGAAGUUAAAAAAAGAAGUUUGUUCAACUUUUAAAAUCCU
Molecule: ribosomal RNA, 408 nt
Filed under: Amblyomma maculatum (Gulf Coast tick)
Lineage: Eukaryota; Metazoa; Arthropoda; Arachnida; Ixodida; Ixodidae
Description: partial small subunit ribosomal RNA
Source: RNAcentral